Rhopilema esculentum is the source of this 1435-nucleotide non-coding RNA. The record is from RefSeq and is a predicted model, not a curated record. NCBI's taxonomy places the organism in Eukaryota, Metazoa, Cnidaria, Scyphozoa, Rhizostomeae, Rhizostomatidae.
AAGGGCCACUCCAGCCCAAAAAAUUUUUCUGAGAUUUUUGCAUAAAUUGGUAGUUAGUCGAGAAAAAGAAGCUAUCGUGAAAUUUUUUUUCGAAAAGCUUGACUCGUUUUCCAGAUAUAGACGCUCAAAGUUGAGAAUCACCGUAAAAAUACGACAAAAUUUUUUUCGGAAAAAGUACCUUGUGACGUAUGAAGGGACCAUUGUUUCAACAUUCGGCACUAUUGUUAUACGUUCGCACUGAAAUUCGCACGACUCGGUAGAGGCUCGGAAGAGGCGAUUCAUGUCGGAAUCUCGGUUGUCGUUUUAUUUAUUUUCUUCAUUGCGAUUGAUGUUCAGCGGAGGCUUCCAGCCAACAUGGACUAGUAAUUCGACAAAUCAAAGAUGGAAGCUUCAACCUGAACGCAUACCCUCAUCUUGGCAACGCAGCAAGCUUUUUAAUAUGGAAUGCUUCACGAAUUUUCAGAUGUGAAUGGAUUUCUGACCGAAGGCAUUUCUUAUCGUCAUGUCAUCUCAGGAAUUUCCAGGGAGCUGAAUAAUAAUUGAUGUCUCACCGCAUUAGAAGAAGAACCCCAUUCACAAAAUGGAAACUUUCCCGCAUAAAAAAGGUAACAAACUCUUUUAUGGAUCAGCAGAAAGGAUCUUGCAAAAAAAUGCUAGAUGAAGGUUGGAGAUUACAUGCAUUCUGUUAUCUUGCUACUGGCUUUGUGGGAGUGAUAACUUGCCCCUCUCUUCCAUGCAAGAGUUACCACAAAGACCUCAACACAUUAUUCUGUUUUUGUAUUAACAUUUUUUACAAAGGAGACUAUUUUUAAAAUUAUCAAAAUUUUAUAUAUAAUUUGGUCAUAUCUAUAUAAUGUUUGCAAAUCCACUGCUAUUAUUUAGAACUAGUAACAACAUAUAGGUAUUUUCUAGAAAUUUUGCAAUAGAUUAUUGUUUCAUGAUACUUUUAUAAGAACAUUUCUCAUGUGCAAUAGAAAUUACAAAUUUCUAGAUAGUUCACUGGUCUGAUUGUUUAGAUAUUUGAAUAUAUAAUCCAAUGUAGCCAAGUAUUUAAAUACAUCAAACAUGUAUUUAUUAUUCAUAAAUAUAGCAGGUUGAAAUUCUGACAGCUUAAAGGAGCUGAAAAGGCCCCUGUAAUAGCUUAAAGGUUAAAUACAAAAAUUAUAUUUACACAAGUACAUUGAAAAAGUUGAAUUAUUAAUAUAAUCUCAAAUCCCUCUUUUGUUUGUAUAAAAACAAAUUUAUAAUUUUUGAAAAAGUUGUUUGACUCAUGACUAAUGGUAGGUUUUUAGUCUUGUCUUGAAAGUUUGUAUACUUUCUUGUCCAUGCCCUCGAUUGUCCUGGUUUAUUUCUAAUAAGUCAUAGUCAUGUUGAUAUGAAGCUCUUCAUCCUAAUGAAUAUGUUGUAUCAAUUCAUACAGCUUUCAUUCCCGGUA